GACGAACGCUGGCGGCGUGCUUAACACAUGCAAGUCGAACGGUGAAGCGCCUUCCUUUUUGGUGGGUGUGGAUGAGUGGCGAACGGGUGAGUAUCACGUGAGUAACCUGCCCCCUUCUUCUGGAUAACCGCAUGAAAGUGUGGCUAAUACGGGAUAUUCUGGGUCUGUCGCAUGAUGGGUCUGGGAAAGAUAUUGUUUCGGUGGGGGAUGGGCUCGCGGCCUAUCAGCUUGUUGGUGGGGUGAUGGCCUACCAAGGCGGUGACGGGUAGCCGGCCUGAGAGGGUGGACGGUCACACGGGGACUGAGACACGGCCCAGACUCCUACGGGAGGCAGCAGUGGGGAAUAUUGCACAAUGGGCGCAAGCCUGAUGCAGCGACGCCGCGUGAGGGAUGGAGGCCUUCGGGUUGUGAACCUCUUUCGCCAGUGAAGCAGGCCUGCCUCGUUUGUGGGUGGGUUGACGGUAGCUGGAUAAGAAGCGCCGGCUAACUACGUG
This 494-nucleotide ribosomal RNA is filed under the name uncultured bacterium. Its description in RNAcentral is "partial 16S ribosomal RNA". It matches the Rfam family "Bacterial small subunit ribosomal RNA", at positions 28 to 507 of the family's 1533-position model. The record is from RNAcentral.